GACGAACGCUGGCGGCGUGCUUAACACAUGCAAGUCGAACGGGUCUGCCCUGUUUUUUGCGGGGUGGGUCAGUGGCGAACGGGUGAGUAACACGUGAGUAACCUGCCCCUCACUUCUGGAUAACCGCUUGAAAGGGUGGCUAAUACGGGGUGUUCUGGCUGUGCCGCAUGGUGUGGCUGGGAAAGAUUCACUUUUGUGGUGUUUUGGUGGGGGAUGGGCUCGCGGCCUAUCAGCUUGUUGGUGGGGUGAUGGCCUGCCAAGGCUUUGACGGGUAGCCGGCCUGAGAGGGUGGGCGGUCACACUGGGACUGAGAGACGGCCCAGACUCCUGCGGGAGGCAGCAGUGGGGGGUAGUGCACAAUGGGCGGAAGCCUGAUGCAGCGACGUCGCGUGAGGGAUGGAGGCCUGCGGGUUGUGAACCUCUUUCGCCGGUGAAGAAGGUCCUGCUCUUUGGGGUGGGGUUGACGGUAGCCGGGUUAUGAAGCGCCGGCUAACUACGUG
This 500-nucleotide ribosomal RNA is filed under the name uncultured bacterium. RNAcentral's name for it is "partial 16S ribosomal RNA". It matches the Rfam family "Bacterial small subunit ribosomal RNA", at positions 28 to 507 of the family's 1533-position model. The record is from RNAcentral.